AUUGAACGCUGGCGGCAUGCCUUACACAUGCAAGUCGAACGGCAGCACGGGAGCAAUCCUGGUGGCGAGUGGCGAACGGGUGAGUAAUAUAUCGGAACGUGCCCAGUCGUGGGGAUAACGUAGCGAAAGCUACGCUAAUACCGCAUACGAUCUAUGGAUGAAAGCGGGGGAUCGCAAGACCUCGCGCGAUUGGAGCGGCCGAUAUCAGAUUAGGUAGUUGGUGAGGUAAAGGCUCACCAAGCCGACGAUCUGUAGCUGGUCUGAGAGGACGACCAGCCACACUGGGACUGAGACACGGCCCAGACUCCUACGGAGGCAGCAGUGGGGAAUUUUUGGGACAAUGGGCGCAAGCCUGAUCCAGCCAUUCCGCGUGCAGGAUGAAGGCCCUCGGGUUGUAAACUGCUUUUGUACGGACGAAAAGGUUUGUCUUAAUACGAUGAGCUCAUGACGGUACCGUAAGAAUAAGCACCGGCUAACUACGUAGCC
This 486-nucleotide ribosomal RNA is filed under the name uncultured bacterium. RNAcentral's name for it is "bacterial SSU rRNA". It matches the Rfam family "Bacterial small subunit ribosomal RNA", at positions 30 to 510 of the family's 1533-position model. The record is from RNAcentral.